Molecule: ribosomal RNA, 497 nt
Filed under: uncultured bacterium
Lineage: Bacteria
Description: partial 16S ribosomal RNA
Rfam family: Bacterial small subunit ribosomal RNA
Source: RNAcentral
GAUGAACGCUGGCGGCGUGCCUAAUACAUGCAAGUCGAGCGAACGGACGAGAAGCUUGCUUCUCUGAUGUUAGCGGCGGACGGGUGAGUAACACGUGGAUAACCUACCUAUAAGACUGGGAUAACUUCGGGAAACCGGAGCUAAUACCGGAUAAUCUUUUGAACCGCAUGGUUCAAAAGUGAAAGACGGUCUUGCUGUCACUUAUAGAUGGAUCCGCGCUGCAUUAGCUAGUUGGUAAGGUAACGGCUUACCAAGGCAACGAUGCAUAGCCGACCUGAGAGGGUGAUCGGCGACACUGGAACGGAGACACGGUCCAGACUCCUACGGGAGGCAGCAGUAGGGAAUCUUCCGCAAUGGGCGAAAGCCUGACGGAGCAACGCCGCGUGAGUGAUGAAGGUCUUCGGAUCGUAAAACUCUGUUAUUAGGGAAGAACAUAUGUGUAAGUUACUGUGCACAUCUUGACGGUACCUAAUCAGAAAGCCACGGCUAACUACGUG